AUUGAUUUAGCUAGUGCGAUUGGCAAAUUCCAGAAGAUCAAGGGGAAAAAAGUGCCUUUGUGACACUCUGGGAGGACGUAUUAGGGGAGACUUAGGACUGGAAGGGCUGUCCGUGUCAACCUGCAAAGGAAAUACGAUUUGCAACAGUGGAUCAAACCAUUGGUCCAUCUAGUAUCCUGUCUCUGGCAGUGGCCAUUACCUGAUGCUUCAAAGAGAGGUACACCUUCCACUCCUGACACUGGGACGCUGCUACGGAGCUCCAGCUCAGGCCGGGGAUGGUUGAGAAGGAGAGGGGGUUGGGUCGUGCGCGUGAUAGAUGAGGCACUAACAGCGCUGCGAGACAAGCACUGUGCAUGCAUGACCCACACAGACACGGCUGCUAAAAUUCUCCGAUCAAUGGCACAGGGGCACUCUAACCCCUGAAGUGGAGCACCCACAGGGGGACACAUCUUGAAGAACCUCAAUCAUUGUACAAGGAACCACCACCACUUUUCAUCUAUAGUCACCUCUGCCUGGAGACUGGAAUGAAGGGCUUUAUAUAUUUGUUUCCUGAAGAUGGCAGCAAUGUCUUUACUAUGCAAUACACCCAGCUUCAUGAGGCUGUUUUGUAGCAGAGAUACAGUACCAACUGUUCAUUUCCACUGCGGCUGAGGAUACAUAUGAGCAUGUAAGAGGUUCACAAAACAACGCUUCCUCUGUUGUGAAAUGGCACCAGGGAGCUACAACAGGCCUUUCCAUCAGGGAAAAUGUUCUUUUCAUUUUAAUAUGACAGGCAAAAUAACUCACAAGGGCAAUCAUACAUAUUGUGCAUGGUGUGUACUGUUCCUUGAGAGAUUUCCUCAGAAAUACAAUGGUAGCAGAGCAGUGUGCAGAGUUAGCACUAAUGAGCUAUGCAUUACUAUUAUGUUCAUUUCACAUCACUCAUGUAGUGAGAUUUGAGUCCCAGGCCUGCUGCUUGGAUGAGUGUUCAUUGCUGAAGCUAAAGUGACAUUUGCAUCCAGCAGGUAAAAAGACUGGUGCUUUUGUGAGUGGAGGUGAUUAAAUCUUCAGGGCAAUGAAAUGAAAGCAAAGGAACUCUGAACCUCUGACCUGAGCAAAGUAUGUGAGAGCUGCAAUGUGGAGAAUCACUUCUGCCACUAUGUAUAGAUAAUGCCUGACUCUUCAGAACAUUUUAAAAUGAAUUUACUGCCGGAGUGACAACACUGGGGACUAAUUAUCAAUGCAGCAGGUAUAGCUUGAGCAAGUUUCCUCACGUUAUCCCACCAACGUGCCUCGACCCUGACUUGGAGAGAUGAUUUUUCAUGCCCAUUACAGCCACUGACUUUCUGUUGAGGCUGAAAAUAAGCGGAGCAGGUGCUGCAAUGGAUUUGGCAGGAGGACAUCUGUCUGCUAGAAAAUUAUCUGAAAGUUCAGUACCAGUGCUUGGAAAUAUUUUCUGGUCCUGACAGACUUUCUACUGGUCCACGUGUUGGGCGGAGGAGAAGGGGAAUGCAGUUCAUAUGUUAUGGAUUACACGACAAAUUCAACCCCUACUUUUCUAUUCAAGGUCUGCUUAAAAUCUAUGAUGUAGAAAGUGAAACACCAGGAAUAACAAAGGGCUGCAAUUAAUCUAACAGCAAUAACAUAAAAUAACCUGAACAGAAGUUUUGGAAAUCACAUACAGAAACAAAGAGCAACCAGAAGACAUUGACACAGUAUGAGAAUAUAAGAGUCUGCUACAGAGUUUGCACAAAGCUACUAUGCCCAGCCCUUUAACAAUUUAAAUUAUUAUAGGAGCAACCAUCACUGCUGGUAAGGGUCAUUUCCAUCAAAGGCUUCAAGUGAGUCUGUCCAUAAGCAAAAAUUAAAUUUUAGAUUUUCAAGUGAUAUAACAACGGGUAUUACAAAUAAAAUAAUAUCUUCUCAUUCAUUUUCAUGCUGCACACAAAGGCAGAUACAUACUAUGGUAAUAGGUGCUUUAAAAAUGCUGUAGAUGCCCAUUCAUUUAAAUACAUGCAGACUUCUGACCCCUGUGAAAAUGAUCAUUGACAAUCUAAUACCACAAUAAUUACUGAGGAGAAAAAUAAAAGAUGACUUUUAUCUGAUUAUAUUAAGGAAUCACUUACCUGAAAAUAUCAUUUGGACUUGUCAGAAGACAUCCUCACCUGCUCAUGUCAUGCAGACUAGGAAGCUUCAUAUUUCAAUGUAAAAAAUAAAAGAUGAUACCAUCUCCUAAUGAAUGAAGUAGUUCCACUGUGGAGAGUUUGCUGCUAAUGUUGGAAUUCCUUUGGAGGAAUGAAGAAAGACAGACUAGGGAGGCGUGUCUUCCAGCGAUGUAAAAUAAAGGGCUUGUUCUCCUUUAUGAAAUACCAUUGCAAACGCAAAGAAAGCUUAUUAGUUAUUGAGCCAUUUGCUUUCUCAGCAAGCAGACUGAAUGGCUGGCUGGUAUUCCAGCUUGCUUUUCCAUCGAGUGCAGAUACAGUUUGUCUGGCACAGUUCUAUUCAAAUGCUACAGAGGAUCACUGGCUGUUCUAGUUUGCUGGGAACAAAACAGCAACAAGCUCCACGGCUGCACAUCUUUGUUAGACUGCCUAAUGCUCUGUUUCAAGGAAGAAUGCCCCUGCUCUGAUAUAUCAUUUAGCUUUUAGCACGCAGAUGGGUUUUACAAACCUAGCUCCUGAUUCCAUACCUGUAAGAAUAGUUAUACCUUCAUUUGGUUAUUGAUAGGACUAUUAAAAUUCUUGUCAGAGAAAGGUAUGUAAAAUGAAAUACUGACCCUAUUCUCUUCCUCUCUUUGGAGUCAAAACACCUCCUAGAUUUUAUUAUUCUCUUUGGUGAUAACUUUAUGAUUUAUAUUUUAUCAGUUUGAUUUUUUUUUUAAAUACUGAAAACACAGAUCAACCUCCUGAUUCUUAAUGCCAACUUGGUAAUAUUCUUUUUUUCCUGUUACGCGAGCAGUAAGGAUGGGUGAAUGGAAGAAUACAUUGGUCAAGCAGCGCAAAUAUUGGCCUAGUUAAAGAAGCUAAGUAUUCCCCAAAAGGAAUAGGAAAAAAUAAUAGGCUUUCAGACACGUGUGCACCAAGAUGGGUCUCAGUGUUAGAGGACUGCACUGACAUGAGAGAAUCCCAGCCAGUCUAUGUCUGGAUAUAGAGUCUAAGUCAUUCCUCACUUAUUGUGGGUGCUGGAAUAGCCCAGGCAAUUUGCACCCUCAGUCUCCUUAGAAAAUUCAUUCUUGCUGUUUUGGGAGAGGAGUGGGGAGAAAAGGAGGUGGUGGAAGGUGAGGACCAGGUUUGGAACAGUAAGCACCAAGUCCAAGUGGUGUCCGUUCAGGAAGUAAACUGAAGCUAGCCAUGUCUGCAGGGGCCUGAGGCAUAGCCUUGUGAGCCAGACCAUGUAUGUGCACGCGACUAUGUGUCCCAGUAGCUUGAGGCAAACCUGGGCUGUCAUGAUUGGUUGGACAAUGACCUUGGCGAUCACGUCCAACAUGGUCUGGAACUGGGCCUCCGGAAGGCAGGCUCUGGCUUUGGUUGAGUUGAGCAGUGCCCCAAUAAACUUUAUUCUCUGAACUGGAAUAAAGGUCAACUUUUGCUCGUUUAUCAAUAGGCCCAGCACUCAAAAGGUGGCUUGGACCAGGCUGAUGCUGUUCUUUACUUGAGCCUCUGAAUGACCCUUGAUCAGCCAGUCAUUGAGGAGUACUGUCUCAGACACAGAGCCAAGAAACAUGGCAGCUGUUGAGGCCUGAAGUGCUUCCUCGAAGUGGAUGGAGGAAGAGGCCCAGGGACCUGAGGGUAGCCCUUGAGUCCUCAGGCCAUGUAGUCUCAUGUUUGUCUGCUCUGAAAAUAGUGAGGAGCCUUUGAAAGGGAGGUCCUGGAUAGACUGCUGGAUCACCUGAGCGAGUCCUGAUGACUGCAGCCAAGAGCAUCAUCUCAUGGUGACAACAGAGGCCAUUGUCCUGGCCACCAUGUCUGCUGCGUCCAGUGACCCCUGGAGAGAGGCUCUGGCAACAUUCUCUCCUUGUUCUAAGAUGGGUGAAAAUUCCUGCCAUAAGUCUUGAGACAUGGAGUCCUUAAAUUUAGACAGAGUCCCACAAAUUGUAGUCGUAUCUCCACAAUAAGGCUUGCUGGUUUGAGAUGCAUAGUUGUAGACCGCCUGUCAAGUAAACUUU
Long non-coding RNA from Mauremys mutica (yellowpond turtle), 4144 nucleotides. RefSeq lists it as uncharacterized. Lineage: Eukaryota; Metazoa; Chordata; Testudines; Geoemydidae. The record is from RefSeq and is a predicted model, not a curated record. The transcript is spliced from 7 exons.